GACGAACGCUGGCGGCGUGCUUAACACAUGCAAGUCGAGCGAGGCCCCUCCUUCGGGGUGGUGCCCUAGCGGCGAACGGGUGAGUAACACGUGGGCAACCUGCCCUCAGCUCUGGGAUAACUCCAAGAAAUUGGCGCUAAUACCAGAUGUGACCGCUGACCGCAUGGUCUGGUGGUGGAAAGAUUCAUCGGCUGAGGAUGGGCCCGCGGCCUAUCAGCUUGUUGGUGGGGUAAUGGCCCACCAAGGCGACGACGGGUAGCCGGCCUGAGAGGGUGACCGGCCACACUGGUACUGAGACACGGCCCAGACUCCUACGGGAGGCAGCAGUGGGGAAUAUUGCGCAAUGGGCGAAAGCCUGACGCAGCGACGCCGCGUGAGGGAUGACGGCCUUCGGGUUGUAAACCUCUUUCAGUAGGGACGAAGCGAAAGUGACGGUACCUACAGAAGAAGCACCGGCCAACUACGUG
Molecule: ribosomal RNA, 467 nt
Filed under: uncultured bacterium
Lineage: Bacteria
Description: partial 16S ribosomal RNA
Rfam family: Bacterial small subunit ribosomal RNA
Source: RNAcentral